This 214-nucleotide long non-coding RNA is filed under the name Elaeis guineensis (African oil palm). RNAcentral describes it as "long non-coding RNA (EGUI_LNC058082)". Lineage: Eukaryota; Viridiplantae; Streptophyta; Magnoliopsida; Arecales; Arecaceae. The record is from RNAcentral.
AAUGCCAAAAUAAAUGGGGCAUGUAAAAUUAUUUGGGUAUGACUUUUGGUGUGGAGGAGGCUGGUUCCAUGUGGAACUCUUCCAUAAAACCAAAUAAAAUUAACUAAUUAAUUAGAUAGUUCAAACCUAACCACAUUAGGUCAAGACAACAAGGUAGGUUAGCACAAACACCUUUGCACUGAAUCCAAUUGGAAACUUAGGUUAAUUCAUGUGC